RNAcentral lists this ribosomal RNA (1243 nucleotides) under metagenome. RNAcentral describes it as "bacterial LSU rRNA". It matches the Rfam family "Bacterial large subunit ribosomal RNA", at positions 1564 to 2816 of the family's 2925-position model. The record is from RNAcentral.
UGAAUACGAGACGCUAAGGCGUCGAAGUAGUGUAUAUCAGACUUCCAAGAAAAGCUUGCACUGUCAUAGAUAAAAAAUGCCUGUACCAUAACCGACACAGGUGGGUAGGUAGAGUAUACUAAGGGGCGCGAGAUAACUCUCUCUAAGGAACUCGGCAAAAUAACUCCGUAACUUCGGGAGAAGGAGUGCCUUAUUUAUAAGGUUGCAAUAACAAGAUCCAAGCAACUGUUUAUCAAAAACACAGGUCUCCGCUAAGUCGUAAGACGAUGUAUGGGGGCUGACGCCUGCCCAGUGCCAGAAGGUUAAAGAAGUUGGUUAGCAAUUGCGAAGCUGAUAACUGAAGCCCUGGUGAACGGCGGCCGUAACGAUAACGGUCCUAAGGUAGCGAAAUUCCUUGUCGGGUAAGUUCCGACCCGCACGAAAGGCGUAAUGAUUUGGAUACUGUCUCGGAGAGGGGCUCGGUGAAAUAGACUUGUCUGUGAAGAUGCGGACUACCUGCACCAGGACAGAAAGACCCUAUGAAGCUUUACUGUAACUUGAAAUUGAAAUUGGACUUUAUUCGCGCAGCAUAGGUGGGAGGCGUUGAUUAUAAUCUUGCGGGAUUAUUGGAGCCAUCAGUGAGAUACCACUCUUGUAAUGUUAGAUUUCUAACUUUGAAUCAUUAUCUGGUCAAAGAACAGUUUCAGGCGGGCAGUUUGACUGGGGCGGUCGCCUCCUAAAUGGUAACGGAGGCGUACAAAGGUUUCCUCUGAACGGUUAGAAAUCGUAUCUAGAGUGUAAAGGCAUAAGGAAGCUUGACUGUGAGACCUACAAGUCGAGCAGGGACGAAAGUCGGUCUUAGUGAUCUGACGGUACUGAGUGGAAAGGCCGUCACUCAACGGAUAAAAGUUACUCUAAGGAUAACAGGCUGAUCUCCCCCAAGAGUUCACAUCGACGGGGAGGUUUGGCACCUCGAUGUCGGCUCAUCGCAUCCUGGGGCGGUAGUACGUCCCAAGGGUUGGGCUGUUCGCCCAUGAAAGCGGUACGCGAGCUGGGUUCAGAACGUCGUGAGACAGUUCGGUCCAUAUCCGGUGUAGGCGUUAGAAUAUUGAGAGGAGCCUUCUUUAGUACGAGAGGACCGAGAAGGACAUACCUCUGGUGUACCAGUUAUCGUGCCAACGGUAAACGCUGGGUAGCUAUGUAUGGAGUGGAUAACCGCUGAAAGCAUCUAAGUGGGAAGCCCACCUCAAGAUAAGUAUUCUCC